UACCAGCACCCCGAGUGGUCGGGACGUUUAUUGGGCCUAAAGCCUCCGUAGCCGGUUCUACGAGUCUUCCGUUAAAUCCAACUGCUUAACAGGUGGGCUGCGGAAGAUACUAUAGAGCUAGGAGGCGGGAGAGGCAAGCGGUACUCGAUGGGUAGGGGUAAAAUCCGUUGAUCCAUUGAAGACCACCAGUGGCGAAGGCGGCUUGCCAGAACGCGCUCGACGGUGAGGGAUGAAAGCUGGGGGAGCAAACAGG
This 253-nucleotide ribosomal RNA is filed under the name uncultured bacterium. RNAcentral describes it as "partial 16S ribosomal RNA". It matches the Rfam family "Archaeal small subunit ribosomal RNA", at positions 474 to 727 of the family's 1478-position model. The record is from RNAcentral.